CUUGCUACUUUUGCCGGCGAGCGGCGGACGGGUGAGUCUGCCUGGGGAUCUGCCCGGUCGAGGGGGAUAACAGGUGGAAACGACUGCAACUACCGCAUACGCCCUACGGGGGAAAGCAGGGGACCUUCGGGCCUUGCGCGAUUGGAUGAACCCAGGUGGGAUUAGCUAGUUGGUGAGGUAAUAUCUCACAAAGGAGACAAUCCCUAACUGGUCUGAAAGGAUGAUCAGCCCCACUGGAACUGACACACGGUCCGACUCCUACGGGAGGCACAGUGGGGAAUAUUGCACAAUGGGGGAAACCCUGAUGCAGCCAUGCCGCGUGUGUGAAGAAGGCCUUCGGGUUGUAAAGCACUUUCAGCGAGGAGGAAAGGUUGGUAUCGAAUAACUGCCACCUGUGACGUUACUCGCAGAAAAAGCACCGGCUAACUCCGUGCCAGCAGCCGCGGUAAUACGGAGGGUGCAAGCGUUAAUCGGAAUUACUGGGCGUAAAGCGCACGCAGGCGGUUGGAUAAAUUUAGAUGUGAAAAGCCCCGGGCUCAACCUGGGAAAUUGCAUUUAAAACUGUCCAGCUAGAGUCUUGUAGAGGGGGGUAGAAUUCCAGGGUGUAGCGGUGAAAUGCGUAGAGAUCUGGAGGAAUACCGGGUGGCGAAGGCGGCCCCCCUGGACAAAGACUGACGCUCAGGUGCGAAAGCGUUGGGGGAGCAAAACAGGAUUAGAAUACCCCUGAUAAGUCCACGCCGUAACGAUCGUCGAUUUGGGAGGCUGUGUCCUUGGAGACGUGGCUUCCGGAGCUAACGCGUUAAAUCGACC
Molecule: ribosomal RNA, 810 nt
Filed under: uncultured bacterium
Lineage: Bacteria
Description: bacterial SSU rRNA
Rfam family: Bacterial small subunit ribosomal RNA
Source: RNAcentral